Molecule: small nucleolar RNA, 132 nt
Organism: Erpetoichthys calabaricus (reedfish)
Lineage: Eukaryota; Metazoa; Chordata; Cladistia; Polypteriformes; Polypteridae
Source: Ensembl
UGCAGCCUUGUCAAAUUCAGUACAUCUUUCCAGAGACUGUACUGGCCAAAAUGGCUGCUACAUUAUGUUUGUAGCUCACAGUCUCCAUAUGCUACGGUGCAAAAUGGGGAUAAAGUGAUGCCACUAACAUUU